RNAcentral lists this ribosomal RNA (800 nucleotides) under uncultured ciliate. RNAcentral's name for it is "SSU rRNA". It matches the Rfam family "Eukaryotic small subunit ribosomal RNA", at positions 1 to 833 of the family's 1831-position model. Lineage: Eukaryota; Ciliophora. The record is from RNAcentral.
AACCUGGUUGAUCCUGCCAGUAGUCAUAUGCUUGUCUCAAAGACUAAGCCAUGCAUGUCUAAGUAUCAUCCGAAACUGCGAAUGGCUCAUUAAAACAGUUAUAGUUUACUUGAUAUUGCAUCUUACAUGGAUAACCGUAGUAAUUCUAGAGCUAAUACAUGCGUUAUGCCCGACUUCUGGAAGGGCAGUAUUUAUUAGAUAACAAAUCAAUAUUCCUCUGGUCUAUUUGAUGAUUCAUAAUAACUAGCUUAUCGAAUCGCUGGGUUGUACCCGCGAUAAAUCAAUCAAGUUUCUGCCCCAUCAGCUUGAUGGUAGUGUAUUGGACUACCAUGGCUUUUACGGGUAACGGGGGAUUAGGGUUCGACACCGGAGAGGGAGCCUGAGAAACGGCUACCACUUCUACGGAAGGCAGCAGGCGCGUAAAUUACCCAAUCCUAAUUCAGGGAGGUAGUGACAAGAAAUAAUAGACCGGCGUAAGCCGGGUUUACAAUGAGCCUAAUUUACACCGCUUAGUGAGGAUCCAUUGGAGGGCAAGUCUGGUGCCAGCAGCCGCGGUAAUUCCAGCUCCAAUAGCAUAUAUUAAAAUUGCUGCAGUUAAAAAGCUCGUAGUUGGAUUUCUGUGAGACUAGUUUUGUUCGGCACGUGUGUCGGGCGAUCCUCUUCUCACAUCCUUCUGUUAACCUUGUGUACCUUCACCGGUAUGCUUGUGGGCUCAGAUACUUUACCUUGAGAAAAUUAGAGUGUUUCAGGCAAGCUUUCGCUUGAAUACAUUAGCAUGGAAUAAUAGAAAAGGACUUCGU